UACGUAGGGGGCUAGCGUUGUCCGGAUUUAUUGGGCGUAAAGAGCGUGUAGGCGGCCAGGUAGGUCUGGUGUGAAAACUCGAGGCUUAACCUCGAGAUGUCAUCGGAAACCAUUUGGCUAGAGUCCGGAAGAGGAGAGUGGAAUUCCUGGUGUAGCGGUGAAAUGCGCAGAUAUCAGGAAGAACACCCGUGGCGAAGGCGGCUCUCUGGGACGGUACUGACGCUGAGGAGCGAAAGCGUGGGGAGCGAACAGG
This 253-nucleotide ribosomal RNA is filed under the name uncultured bacterium. RNAcentral's name for it is "partial 16S ribosomal RNA". It matches the Rfam family "Bacterial small subunit ribosomal RNA", at positions 524 to 776 of the family's 1533-position model. The record is from RNAcentral.